This is a transfer RNA of Microdochium bolleyi, 72 nucleotides long. It matches the Rfam family "tRNA". From Rfam's summary of the family: Transfer RNA (tRNA) molecules are approximately 80 nucleotides in length. Their secondary structure includes four short double-helical elements and three loops (D, anti-codon, and T loops). Further hydrogen bonds mediate the characteristic L-shaped molecular structure. tRNAs have two regions of fundamental functional importance: the anti-codon, which is responsible for specific mRNA codon recognition, and the 3' end, to which the tRNAs corresponding amino acid is attached (by aminoacyl-tRNA synthetases). tRNAs cope with the degeneracy of the genetic code in two manners: having more than one tRNA (with a specific anti-codon) for a particular amino acid; and 'wobble' base-pairing, i.e. permitting non-standard base-pairing at the 3rd anti-codon position. The record is from Rfam. Lineage: Eukaryota; Fungi; Ascomycota; Sordariomycetes; Xylariales; Microdochiaceae.
GCCCGCUUGGCUCAUCGGUAGAGCGCCUCACUAGUAAUGAGGAGGUAAUUGGUUCGACUCCAGUAGUGGGCA